UACGGAGGAUGCGAGCGUUAUCCGGAUUUAUUGGGUUUAAAGGGUGCGUAGGCGGAUCGUUAAGUCAGUGGUCAAAUUGAGGGGCUCAACCCCUUCCCGCCAUUGAAACUGGCGAUCUUGAGUGGAAGAGAAGUAUGCGGAAUGCGUGGUGUAGCGGUGAAAUGCAUAGAUAUCACGCAGAACCCCGAUUGCGAAGGCAGCAUGCCGGCUUCCGACUGACGUUGAGGCCCGAAAGCGUGGGGAGCAAACAGG
RNAcentral lists this ribosomal RNA (252 nucleotides) under uncultured bacterium. RNAcentral's name for it is "partial 16S ribosomal RNA". It matches the Rfam family "Bacterial small subunit ribosomal RNA", at positions 524 to 776 of the family's 1533-position model. The record is from RNAcentral.